This 524-nucleotide ribosomal RNA is filed under the name uncultured bacterium. RNAcentral describes it as "bacterial SSU rRNA". It matches the Rfam family "Bacterial small subunit ribosomal RNA", at positions 777 to 1308 of the family's 1533-position model. The record is from RNAcentral.
AAUAGAUACCCAGGUAGUCCACGCCGUAAACGAUGGAUACUAGCUGUUGGGGGCGACCUCAGUGGCUAAGCGAAAGUGAUAAGUAUCCCACCUGGGGAGUACGUUCGCAAGAAUGAAACUCAAAGGAAUUGACGGGGGCCCGCACAAGCGGUGGAGCAUGUGGUUUAAUUCGAUGAUACGCGAGGAACCUUACCAAGGCUUAAAUGCAGACUGACCGUUUUGGAAACAGAACUUUCGCAAGACAGUCUACAAGGUGCUGCAUGGUUGUCGUCAGCUCGUGCCGUGAGGUGUCAGGUUAAGUCCUAUAACGAGCGCAACCCCUGUUGUUAGUUGCCAGCGAGUAGUGUCGGGAACUCUAACAAGACUGCCAGUGCAAACUGUGAGGAAGGUGGGGAUGACGUCAAAUCAUCACGGCCCUUACGCCUUGGGCUACACACGUGCUACAAUGGCCGGUACAGAGAGCAGCCACCUCGGCGAGGGGGAGCGAAUCUACAAAGCCGGUCACAGUUCGGAUCGGAGUCUGC